Molecule: ribosomal RNA, 490 nt
Filed under: uncultured bacterium
Lineage: Bacteria
Description: partial 16S ribosomal RNA
Rfam family: Bacterial small subunit ribosomal RNA
Source: RNAcentral
AGUGAACGCUGGCGGCAGGCCUAACACAUGCAAGUCGAACGGCAGCACAAGAGAGCUUGCUCUCUGGGUGGCGAGUGGCGGACGGGUGAGGAAUGCAUCGGAAUCUGCCCAUUUGUGAGGGAUAACCUCGGGAAACCGGGACUAAUACCGCAUACGACCUACGGGUGAAAGCAGGGGAUCUUCGGACCUUGCGCAGAUGGAUGAGCCGAUGCCGGAUUAGCUAGUUGGAGGGGUAAAGGCCCACCAAGGCGACGAUCCGUAGCUGGUCUGAGAGGAUGAUCAGCCACACUGGGACUGAGACACGGCCCAGACUCCUACGGGAGGCAGCAGUGGGGAAUAUUGGACAAUGGGCGCAAGCCUGAUCCAGCCAUGCCGCGUGUGUGAAGAAGGCCUUCGGGUUGUAAAGCACUUUUGUUGGGAAAGAAAAGCAGCCGGUUAAUACCCGGUUGUCAUGACGGUACCCAAAGAAUAAGCACCGGCUAACUUCGUG